Molecule: RNA transcript, 876 nt
Organism: Otolemur garnettii (small-eared galago)
Lineage: Eukaryota; Metazoa; Chordata; Mammalia; Primates; Galagidae
Gene name: kazrin pseudogene
Exons: 1
Source: RefSeq, a predicted model, not a curated record
GCGCGGUGUCCUUCUCUGAGCAGCUCUCGGCGCCCGCCCGCCGGGGUCUCGGCGAUCGCUGCUGCUCCUCCUCCUCCUCCGCUUUCUCCUCCUCCUCCUCCCCCCGCCGCCUCGCCACCGCCGCGGCUCGGGCUGGAGGCGCCGCUGUCAUUCCUGCGCCCGAGGAGCCGGCGCUGCCGGUGCCCGGGGGUCGGGGCGCGGGCGAGCCGGGCCGCGGGGGACCCAACAGGUAGAGCCGGGGGUGCCCGGCUGCGUGCCCCCCCGCGCAUCAUGCAGCUCUUUGUCACCUCUCUCGCCCCCAGGCCAAAAUCCUGAGCAUGAUGGAAGACAAUAAGCAGCUCGCGCUCCGCAUCGAUGGGGCGGUCCAGUCGGCCAGCCAGGAGGUGACCAACCUGCGAGCCGAACUCACGGCCACCAACCGGAGGCUGGCGGAACUGAGCGGCGGCGGCGGCGGCCCCGGCUCGGGCCCGGGAGCCGCGGCCAGCGCCUCGGCGGCGGCGGACUCGGCAGCGGCGAACAUGGAGAACCACCAGCUCGGCGCGCAAGGUAGGGACCGCCCGGCGCCCCGGGCGGAGGGGAGGCGGCCGGCACGCCGGACCCGGAGCCGGCCGCGCGCUCGGGCCCCCCACGCCCGGAGCCGAGUCGCUCCACAUCGGGGCUCCUAACGCUCUCAGCCCGGCGGUGGCCACCGCGGCUCCUUGGCUGGGAGUUGCAGGCUGCUGUCAUUAGCAAAAACCUGGGCGCGUGUGCACGGGGUCACACGGUCACACCGGCCCCGGCCAGCGUGAGCCAGGCGCAGCCGGCGGGUCCCUCCCGGCAGCAGAAAGUGCCCUUUCAUUGGCACGCAGCCCCCAGCUCCGUGGCAAACUUUUCAUG